RNAcentral lists this ribosomal RNA (2700 nucleotides) under Triticum aestivum (bread wheat). RNAcentral describes it as "partial small subunit ribosomal RNA". The record is from RNAcentral. Lineage: Eukaryota; Viridiplantae; Streptophyta; Magnoliopsida; Poales; Poaceae.
AUGGAGAGAAAGCUCUCCAUGUCCGAGAUGCCGCAGUCCCUCCCGGAAAACGAUGGGGAACAAAGGUGUCUGAACUCGGAGCUAUGGCAUGCAUGCGCUGGGCCCCUUGUGUCUCUGCCCGCGGUUGGAAGCCGGGUCAUCUAUUUCCCACAGGGCCAUAGCGAGCAGGUUGCCGCAUCAACUAAUAAGGAGGUUGAUGCUCAAAUCCCUAAUUAUCCAAAUCUCCCCCCUCAGUUGAUCUGCCAGCUUCAUAAUGUCACCAUGCAUGCCGAUGCAGAGACUGAUGAAGUUUAUGCCCAAAUGACACUGCAGCCGCUGAGCCCGGAAGAGCAAAAAGAGCCUUUUCUUCCAAUCGAGUUGGGUGCUGCUAGCAAGCAGCCGACUAAUUACUUCUGCAAGACUUUGACUGCAAGUGAUACAAGUACACAUGGCGGAUUUUCUGUUCCUCGCCGGUCUGCUGAGAAAGUCUUCCCUCCAUUGGAUUUUUCUCUGCAGCCUCCAUGCCAGGAGCUCAUUGCAAAAGAUCUGCAUGAUAAUGAAUGGAAAUUUCGCCACAUAUUCCGUGGUCAGCCAAAAAGGCAUCUCCUGACUACAGGUUGGAGUGUCUUUGUAAGUGCAAAGCGACUAGUAGCAGGGGAUUCUGUUAUUUUCAUCUGGAAUGAUAAUAACCAACUUCUCUUGGGGAUUCGUCAUGCAAAUCGUCCUCAGACAAUUAUGCCGUCUUCUGUGCUGUCAAGCGACAGCAUGCAUAUAGGCCUUCUUGCAGCAGCAGCUCAUGCUGCGGCCACAAACAGUCGUUUCACUAUUUUCUAUAACCCCCGGGCUAGCCCUUCUGAGUUCAUCAUUCCAUUGGCUAAGUAUGUCAAAUCUGUUUACCACACACGUGUGUCUGUUGGAAUGCGGUUUAGAAUGCUUUUUGAGACAGAGGAGUCAAGUGUCAGACGAUACAUGGGUACAAUCACAACCAUAAGUGAUCUUGACUCUGUGCGUUGGCCAAAUUCACAUUGGCGUUCUGUGAAGGUUGGUUGGGACGAGUCCACCGCUGGUGAGAAACAACCUAGAGUGUCACUCUGGGAGAUUGAGCCAUUAACAACCUUUCCGAUGUAUCCAACUGCUUUUCCUUUAAGACUGAAGCGUCCAUGGGCUUCAGGGCUGCCCUCUAUGCAUGGCAUGUUCAAUGUUCUGUUCUGUAUCAUAUGCGCAGGUGUCAAAAAUGAUGAUUUUGCUCGUUAUUCUUCUCUCAUGUGGCUCGGAGAUGGGGAUAGAGGGGCUCAGUCGUUGAACUUCCAGGGAGUUGGAGCGUCACCUUGGCUUCAGCCAAGAAUGGAUUCUCCAUUGCUGGGUCUUAAGCCAGACACAUACCAGCAAAUGGCUGCAGCAGCACUGGAGGAAAUUAGAACUGGGGAUCCUUCGAAACAGUCCUCGGCUCUCUUGCAAUUCCAACAGACUCAGAAUCCGAACGGUGGGUUGAAUUCUGUGUAUGCCAAUCAUGUUCUGCAGCAGAUGCAGUAUCAGGCUCAGCAGUCGUCUCUGCAAACUGUUCAGCACGGCCAUAGUCAGUACAGUGGUAAUCCUGGGUUUCUUCAAAGUCAGUUUCAGCAGCUGCAUUUGCAUAAUCCUCCGGCACCACCACAGCAAGGGCAUCAGGUUAUACAGCAAUCUCACCAGGAGAUGCAACAGCAGCUUUCAUCUGGUUGUCAUCGUAUUUCCGAUGUAGAUUCUAGCAUGCCUGGUUCUGAGUCUGCUUCGCAGUCACAAUCUUCAUUCUACCAGCAGAACCUCUUAGAAGGAAACAAUGACCCAUCGUUGCAUCUUCACAAUGGUUUUCGUAACUUCUCUAGCCAAGAUUCCUCAAACCUUGUUAGUUUGCCUCGAACUGACCAAUUAAUGGCGCCGGAGGGAUGGCCUUCAAAGAGGUUGGCUGUGGAACCCCUUGGUCAUAUUGAAUCUCGGUCUGUGCAACCCAAACAUGAGAACGUAAAUCACCAGAGUAAUAUGUCCCACUUUGCUGGAACCUUGGCGCCGCAGUCAGCAAGAGACUCAUCCAGUGUCCAGGCUUAUGGUGCAAAUGUUGACAACCAAUUUCUGUCAUCGUCAUUUGCAUUCCAGGACGGAAUGGCAGGUGCAAGGGGUGGCAGCAGCAGCGGAACUGUUUCUAUGGCCAUACCUUUGUUGAGGUAUAGUGGCGAAGAUUUGCCACCCGCAGACACCUUAGCAACUUCCAGUUGUUUAGGCGAAUCGGGAACCUUCAACUCUCUUGAUAAUAUGUGUGGUGUAAACCCAUCACAAGAUGGAACCUUUGUGAAGGUUUACAAAUCAGGGUCCCCUGGAAGAUCGCUCGACAUCACCAGAUUCAGCAGCUACUAUGAGUUACGUAGUGAGCUGGAGCAUCUAUUUGGCCUCGAAGGCCAACUGGAGGACCCCGUAAGAUCAGGCUGGCAGCUUGUAUUCGUCGACCGAGAAAAUGAUAUUCUUCUCGUCGGCGACGACCCAUGGCAGGAGUUUGUGAAUAGCGUAGGGUGCAUCAAGAUACUCUCGCAGCAGGAGGUGCAGCAGAUGGUCCGCGGCGGCGAGGGCCUUCUGACCUCUGCACCUGGAGCGAGGAUGGCGCACGGCAAUGUCUGCGACGGUUAUUCUGGGGGCCACGACCUGCAGAAUCUCACCGGCAACAUGGCCUCCGUACCGCCACUGGACUACUGA